UCUUUUCUUCCCUGCAACUGCUUUCUCUCUCCUUCGCCGCGAGGCAUGGCCACCGUACGCUUCCACUCUGGCCGCACAUAAAUCCUUCCUCUGCAACGCACAUAAACUUCUUUUCCAGUAAGUCCGCCGCACUCUCUUCUCUUUUUUCUUCCCCUUCGUCUUCUUCUUCUUUCUUUCUUCUUCUUCUUCUUCUUCCUUUUUCCUUUCUUCUUUUCCAUUUUCUUCAUUUCUCUUUCUCUCUAUCUCUCUAUUUCUCUCUCUACCCGACCAUGACUCUUCUCUCUCUUCUCCUCCUUCUUCUUCUAGUCGCGCGUCACCGAAUCGCACAACCCGCCCGACCCUCCUCCUCUUUCAUUUUCUUUCAGCUAUGGCAUUGCGUAACACAGCGCAACCCUUCUCUCUCAACCGUCGACGGUGCCCAACCCUCUCUCUCGUCUCACAAUCAUGUCUCUCACUCCUCGCUCUCUCCUCUCUUUUUUUUCUUUCUUUCUUUUUCUAUUAUUUAAUUAUAUAUAUAUACAUAUACAUAUAUAUUUGCCGUUUGGGUCCUAUUCUCCUGCUCUCUGCGUCCUUUUGCUUUUUUUCUUUACUUCUCUUCUCUUUCUUUUAUUUUUCUUUAUUUAAUUAUAUACACAC
This 636-nucleotide long non-coding RNA is filed under the name Carica papaya (papaya). RNAcentral describes it as "long non-coding RNA (CPAP_LNC005063)". Lineage: Eukaryota; Viridiplantae; Streptophyta; Magnoliopsida; Brassicales; Caricaceae. The record is from RNAcentral.